GACGAACGCUGGCGGCGUGCUUAACACAUGCAAGUCGAACGAAGAGCGAUGGAAGCUUGCUUCUAUCAAUCUUAGUGGCGAACGGGUGAGUAACGCGUAAUCAACCUGCCCUUCAGAGGGGGACAACAGUUGGAAACGACUGCUAAUACCGCAUACGAUCUAACCUCGGCAUCGAGGAUAGAUGAAAGGUGGCCUCUAUUUAUAAGCUAUCACUGAAGGAGGGGAUUGCGUCUGAUUAGCUAGUUGGAGGGGUAACGGCCCACCAAGGCGAUGAUCAGUAGCCGGUCUGAGAGGAUGAACGGCCACAUUGGGACUGAGACACGGCCCAGACUCCUACGGGAGGCAGCAGUGGGGAAUCUUCCGCAAUGGACGAAAGUCUGACGGAGCAACGCCGCGUGAGUGAUGACGGCCUUCGGGUUGUAAAGCUCUGUUAAUCGGGACGAAAGGCCUUCUUGCGAAUAGUUAGAAGGAUUGACGGUACCGGAAUAG
Molecule: ribosomal RNA, 489 nt
Filed under: Veillonella dispar
Lineage: Bacteria; Bacillati; Bacillota; Negativicutes; Veillonellales; Veillonellaceae
Description: bacterial SSU rRNA
Rfam family: Bacterial small subunit ribosomal RNA
Source: RNAcentral